Molecule: long non-coding RNA, 3879 nt
Filed under: Homo sapiens (human)
Lineage: Eukaryota; Metazoa; Chordata; Mammalia; Primates; Hominidae
Description: HSALNT0367268
Source: RNAcentral
CUCGCCGGCGCCGGGAGAGACCUCGUAACGGAACUGGGACGCCAGCGCUGCAUUGUGGGAGCUUUUAAAGCGGCGGGGAGCUCGGCGCGACCCUCGGGCCCACCGGGCCACGCUCGCCCGGCCCGCGACGCCCCCCCGCUGUCGCCUGGCCCGCGACGCACCGAGGCCUGAGGACCCGAAAGCCGGGCGCGGGGAGAUGACCGGUGGCUCGUGACGGUCCCACGGGCAAAAUCUUCCAUCGCCCGGGGCUGAGACUUGUCAAACUGCCCUCUACGGUCACCCGGAAAGUAGGAGGCUUUUUCUGCAGAGGGGAAAAAAAUCAAAAAGAGCCGUUCCAUCCCCCCUCCAAGGACUGGGUUUGAAUUGCUUUUCAUCUGCAGUGGCUGUGAUUCAGCGUCCCUCUUAGCAGCAGGCAAUGACAGAGGCAGGAGAGGGGAAAAAAAAAAAGAAAGAAAGAAAAAACACAGCAAAUGAAUCAAACGGACCAGGUAGCAGGCAAGAGUGUGGUUAUCGUUGGACCAGGAUUCAGGAUCUGACUGAGUAGCUGACUCUUAAUCCAGUUUGUGUUGAUCACCAGGAGGAUCUGGACCUCAGUAUUACCACAUCUAGAGCUAUAAUCACAUCCCUGUUAAGCCUUCCUGAGAUCACACCAAAUGUCCUUGAUGGGAAUUGUAAACAACCCUUACUUCUGGUUUCUAAUGAUAUUCCAGGAAAGGAGCCUAACUAGAGUCAGUGAUAUGCCAACUCCACCUUUGCCUUCCACCAUGUUUGGAAGCUCCCUGAGGCCUCACCAGGAGCAGAUGCUCGUCCCAUGCUUCCUAUAAGCCUGCAGAACUGCUGGCCAGGGGCAGUGGUUCAUGCCUGUAAACCCAGCACUUUGGGAGGCAAAGGCAGGAGGAUUGCUUAAGCCCAGGAAUUUGAGAUCAGCCUGGACAACAUGGUGAGACCCCCAUCUCUACAAAAAUUUUUUUUAAAAGUUACCCAGGCAUGGUGUUGCACAUCUGUGUUCCCAGCUACUGGGGAGGCUGAGACGGGAGGAUCACUUGAGUCCAGGAAGUUGAGAGGUUGAGGCUGCUGUGAGCUGUGAUUGUGCCACUGCACUUUAGCCUGGACAACAGAGGGAGACCCUGUCAACAACAACAACAACAACAAAAAAGCAAAACAUCAUAGGCUGCAGAAAUAAACUUUCUUGUCAAUUGUGUCUUUAACCAUGACCAUUUUGAGUCAUUUCCACAGUGAGUUGCCUAAUUUUGAUGCAUUUCUGAAAACUCUUUAUAAGCAAGUAAAAUCCUAGAGAAUUGUGCCUUCAAGGAGACUCAUGGAAAGGAUGGAAAGAACUCUUGAAUACAUGUUUCUGAUAGCUUUAUGAUCAUAUCAUUUGGACUGGGUAAGAAUUCCCAGAACUCAUGAAGAGACUGACUAUUUAUUAAUCCAAGCAGGAAAAGAAUUAAUUGAAUACCAAGGAAAUACUGUGCCAGAGAUUUUCAUGCUAAAUCAGUCAGCACCGAAAUCGUUAAGAUGUGUAGUUUGAAUGAACUCCAUGAUCCUAGUCAAAUUUCCUAUGAUGACCCAUUUAAUAAACAGUGCUAUGCACCUGAAUUGGAGAAACAGAAUUGAUACUUAAAUCCAAUGUUAAUCAUAGAUUCAUGGAAAGCCUAAAUGGCUGCUUGGGUCUUCCUGAGCCCUUAAAGCUUCCAUUAUUAAAGGCUCUGCACUUUAUAAGUUAUCACUGAAGAGAGAAAAUGAUCCAGAUUUAAAAUACACAUAUUGGUGUGGUGAAUGUUCUAAAUUGCGAAAAUGGUUUAUGACCAACAUUUGGUUUGUCAUGCUCACAAUCCUGGAAAUACAUUCAAAACUUCAGGUACAUUUCUGCUACCUGAUGGGCUAUUUGAAUAUAUAGAGAGGGAUUUCAUUCAAUUGCCAUUUUCAUUGCAUGUUUUUUGGUUGUAUAGAAGCUUUCCCAUGCAAGGAGGCUGAUGCUGUUAUUACAGUAGCUAAAAGGUUAGUAGGAAAUGUGUUUUCCCCCAUGGGGCAUUCCUGGAGAAAUCUCUAGCAAUAAAGGUACUUGUUUGACUGGACAAGUUGUAAAACAGUUUAAUAAGGUUUUUUUUAGGUGUCAUAGCAUUAGGCAAAGCUAACUGAAUUGACUGGAUUGUCAUAGUCAAACAUAUUGCAGAUCCGCUUCCAAUAGAAGACAAUGAAAUAGUCACUGGAAAGCCUGUGCUCCUAAUUUUAGAACCUCAUGUAUCUUCUGCUCCUAAACUCUGAUAGGACUAAAUGCUGUGAGGCCUCAAUGCAUUAUGUUAAUGUGUAUUUUCACCAGGUCAAGGAAGCUUUUCCUGAUCCACUAACUAAGGACAAUCAAACCCUUCAUGAUCUAGAAUCUGGAGACUGUGUCUUCUGGGAAUAGUAUCAGAGAAAGACUGCCCUUACUGCCCACAUGUAGCAAAACUUUGAGACGUUGAAUUAUGGGUCCAUAAUCUCACAACUCAGAGGGGCACCUCUAGACUCUUGGAACUGUAUAUCUAUUGGAGACUUUAAGGUAAAGCUGAACAGAGAGACGUUUUUCUCCAGAAGCAGACAGCACCAUAGUCAUGGACAGCUUUCCCAAGAUCACAGAUCAAGACUUCUCUGCCGUCAUGAGACUCAUAACCUCUUAAUUUUUUCUUGCUUAUGCUUCUGUGAACAAUAGAAUUGGAAAAGGGGUGGUCCCGCGUGCACCCAUAGGGUAUACUUUUAUUUGUGGAGGAUUUUGCUGCCAACCUUAUACAUGGGCAAACUUAUGCCUUCAUGGAUGGAAGAUAAAGGGCUAAUAUGGGUUAGAAAUUUUAAUGGUACCUUUGUUUCUCCAUAAUCAUUCAGAAACAGAACACUGGUCCACUCUUGUUAACCUACAUCAUAGGUUGAAGAGAACAUUGCCAGGAGGCCUUCAUCCUUCCAGAUGGGCACCAUUUGUUGGGUCUUUUUCCGUGGUAUGAAGAAAAUGAAGCAAUGAUUAGAAAUUGGUCCCUCGGCCGGGCACAAUGGCUCAUGCCUGUAAUCCCAUCACUUUGGCAGGCCGAGGCGGGUGGAUCACCUGAGGUCAGGAGUUUGAGACCAGCCUGACCAAUGUGGUGAAACGCCAUCUCUACUAAAAAUACAAAAAUUAGCUGGGUGUGAUGGUGCACACCUGUAAUCCAGCUACUCGGGAGGCUGAGACAGGAGAAUUGCUUGAACCUGGGAGGCAGAGGUUGCAGUGAGCCAAGAUCACCCCACUGCAUUCCAGGUUGGGCAACAGAGCAAGACUCUGUCUCAAAAAAAAAAGAAGAAAGAAAGAAAUUGAUCCCUCAUAAUAGGCUGUAUAGCAGAUUCUACUGCAAAGGCUAUGGUUGCACAACAGACUUCUUUGAAUUUGCUUGCUAAACUUUUACUGGAUAAUACUGGGAUUACAGGUGUGAGCCACUGUGCCCAGCCUCUCCUGUUUAACUGUAUUCAUUCUAAUGUUUACUUACUUCUUUAAUUUGUAAAAUUGGGUCACUUAGAGUUUUUUUAGCCUAUCUUGCCAUUUAGCCACUGUUACUGAUAAUUUGGAUGGAAAAGAAAAAUAAAUUAUAUCACCUCUCAUCUUCAGUGUAUAUAUGUGUUAACUUAGUAAAUAUAGUAUUCUUUCUCGUUCCUAAUGAAAAUUUAGUUUACGUACUGAAACACUGCAAACUUUUAUAAAUAUUGUGAUGUAUUUGACCAAUACAAAGGAUCUUUUUAGAAACAGCAAACAGUUCUCAGAUUAUAGGAAUUACUCAUUUAAUGAUAGUUUCUUCUUAAAAAAAAAAAAGAAAAAUGUUUAGUUACCGAAUCAUAAACAACCCCUUAAAAGACACUCAGAUAAUCUCAUGGGUCAGG